This 235-nucleotide unclassified non-coding RNA is filed under the name Hevea brasiliensis (rubber tree). Lineage: Eukaryota; Viridiplantae; Streptophyta; Magnoliopsida; Malpighiales; Euphorbiaceae. The record is from RNAcentral.
GAAGGCCGUGGUCCUCAGAUCUCUACUCCUAGUGCAUGGGAACGUCCAAAAUUGAUGUAUAAGCUUGGGAUGCAAAUAAAUAGCAAUGCCAAGACAAAUCAAAAUGCUGAUUCUAAGAAUUACUCUAGCUGUGGAAAUGAAUUUUCUUCUCAACAGAGCAGCUACUUUGAGCAGGGUCAGAUUGGGAGUGCUCCUCAAGUUGGUUCCCGUAAGUUGAAUGGUGGGGAAGAGAGGA